Paramuricea clavata is the source of this 692-nucleotide non-coding RNA. The record is from the annotation of a GenBank genome assembly. Lineage: Eukaryota; Metazoa; Cnidaria; Anthozoa; Malacalcyonacea; Plexauridae.
GUUUUAACGAAUUUUUCUCAAAUUUUCACAGGACAUAGCUAAAGACGUCAGUUUCAAAAUGUGUUCGGCUUUGUUCUAAUUUUGGAUAUUUUAAUAAUAAGGAGCAAUUCACACAAACGAUUCAGAAAUAUAUCGCAGUCGCCAAAGAAAUGACGAAGUAAACAAAAAUUUCCGAACACAAUUUUUUAGCACAACUAUUUUACUGUAUAAAAAUGAUAUUUUCAUAAAUAUAUCUUCAAACCAGCAGGAACAUAACUCAAAAGCGUAAAGGUACCGCGACUUAAGAUUUUCCUGAAUAAUUCUUACAUUAUUUUAUUGUUUGUCAAUUUUACAACUUUAUCAUAUUUUCCAUGCACUGGCUAACAUUUGGUGAAAAUUUGAUGAAAAUCGGACUGAUUUUUCCACAAAACGCCAAAAAGGGUGUCCUGUAACCUUAAGGUUUCAGCAACAUGCCCUGUUGCCUGUUAUGUAUUUUCUUGUUCUUUACAUUCUUUAUUUUUAUACAAACUUGGAAAAUCGUAGUGUACAAACUUCAAUCAAUCAAUCAAGGGUUUAUUAUAAAAUCGUGGCGCUCGAAAGCGAAUUGCGAAGUUAUUUACACCAUUUGCUAAUUAUAAAACUAUCUAUGUGUAGCUUGUAUUACAUGCAUUAUGUUACAAAAUUGUUUUACGAAUCUCUGAAUUAAUACAGAA